GUCAAGGUGCACGAGUGCCGGAAGUACUGGGACGCAUUGAAAGAAUCGACCAGAAUUUAUUUGGAUAAGGAAAAAGUACGAAAAAUAUCCGAAAAAUCCGGUGCGCCGGCCGACAUGCUAGACAUGUAUACGGAAGACGGAUCGCAGCGUUUUGACAUUUACCAAGAGCGGUGGCCUUUGUCAGAUGCAAUGAGCUUCUUUUUACCCUCUUGUGCACGGACCGCGUACACAGUGUCAAUUGGAAAUCGUUCGGCAGCGACUGCACUUAAAAGACACGGAGAUGAGGAAGAGUGCUUGGAAGAGAGCUUCAUAGUUCCGGCGACACCAUCAACCUCUCGAAAACGUAUGCGUUCUAAUGAGCUUUUAGACGAAACGUUGUCUUCUGUGGCUACAUCUUUGUCUAAUUUGGUGAAUGCUCGAACAAAUGAAG
Armigeres subalbatus is the source of this 430-nucleotide long non-coding RNA. RefSeq lists it as uncharacterized. The transcript is spliced from 3 exons. NCBI's taxonomy places the organism in Eukaryota, Metazoa, Arthropoda, Insecta, Diptera, Culicidae. The record is from RefSeq and is a predicted model, not a curated record.